AACGUAGGACGCAAGCGUUAUCCGGAGUUACUGGGCGUAAAGCGCGGGCAGGCGGUCUUGCCAGUCUGAUGUGAAAUCUCUCAGCUCAACUGGGAGCAGCCAUUGGAAACUACAAGACUGGAGUCUGGCAGAGGUAGGCGGAAUUCCGGGUGGAGUGGUGAAAUGCGUAGAGAUCCGGAAGAACACCAGUGGCGAAGGCGGCUCACUGGCCCGGUACUGACGCUGAGGCGCGAAAGCGUGGGGAGCAAACAGG
RNAcentral lists this ribosomal RNA (253 nucleotides) under uncultured bacterium. Its description in RNAcentral is "partial 16S ribosomal RNA". It matches the Rfam family "Bacterial small subunit ribosomal RNA", at positions 524 to 776 of the family's 1533-position model. The record is from RNAcentral.